AAAUUUUCUCCCUUUAGAUAUGCAAAAAUUGAUGUGGUCGACACCGAUUAUCGAAACUACGCUAUCCUCUACUCGUGCAAUGCAGUCAAUGAAUCAAUGGUGUCUGAAACGGCCAUGGUUCUUUCGCGCAACCCCUUGGUCACCAAUCGGUAGCAGAAGCAAUCAACAAAUACAUCAGCAGAUAUUUCACCCAUCCGGAGCACAAGUGGCGAGUCACCGAACAAUCUAGCGCUUUCUGCAAACCUACCUUGAUGAUGCAAUCUAAGGCUGUUCCCGUAUUUGAAUCUGGACUGUUCUGUUUUACAUUAUCGUAGGUGUAAUUUGCACCAAAGAUGUUCUCCUAAUGGGCAUCAGUUCGUACUUAAGAAUUGUAAAUUUA
Uranotaenia lowii is the source of this 379-nucleotide long non-coding RNA. RefSeq lists it as uncharacterized. The record is from RefSeq and is a predicted model, not a curated record. The transcript has 2 exons. NCBI's taxonomy places the organism in Eukaryota, Metazoa, Arthropoda, Insecta, Diptera, Culicidae.